This 495-nucleotide long non-coding RNA is filed under the name Rhinopithecus roxellana (golden snub-nosed monkey). RNAcentral describes it as "lncRNA (ENSRROG00000046033.1)". Lineage: Eukaryota; Metazoa; Chordata; Mammalia; Primates; Cercopithecidae. The record is from RNAcentral.
CCCGCCCCUGCCCGAUACGUUACUUCCGGGGCGGGGCGGGCAGAGGGGCCCGGAUGUGCCGCCGUUUUUUUUCUUUACUGAGGCGCCGGCGGUGUUCUUGGUCGCGUCAGCCUGCUGGCUUUUCGCUUUCCUGGACGCUUCAGGGCUCCGCGGCCUGCGCUGGACUGGAGGGUCCGCGUCACUCUCGCCCUCCUGCUUUCCGCGCUCUGACCCACUCCCGCCUCCUGAGGAAUGAUUGGAAGAGACAUGGAAUAACACAUUUGUAUCUGAACUACUUGAAGAGAAAUCUGAAGCCCUGAUUAUAUAUAUAGAUUAUGCAUUUCGCGGGGACAUCCAGUAGUUCAAGGUUACAAUGAGCUGUGAUCGUGCCGCUGCACUCUACCCUGGGUGACAGAGUGGGACCCUGUGCCACAGAGUGAGACCCUGUCUCAAAAAAAAAAAAACAACUAUGUAAAUCCAAGGUAUGAUUUAAAUACUUUUAACACGUGUUCAUUU